RNAcentral lists this ribosomal RNA (476 nucleotides) under uncultured anaerobic ammonium-oxidizing bacterium. RNAcentral's name for it is "bacterial SSU rRNA". It matches the Rfam family "Bacterial small subunit ribosomal RNA", at positions 365 to 832 of the family's 1533-position model. The record is from RNAcentral.
UUCGCAAUGCCCGAAAGGGUGACGAUGCGACGCCGCGUGAGCGAAGAAGGCCCUAGGGUUGUAAAGCUCUGUCGAGGGUUAUGAAAUAUAGAUGGGUUAAUACCCCAUUUACUUGACAAAAGCCCAAAAGGAAGCCACGGCUAACUCUGUGCCAGCAGCCGCGGUAAUACAGAGGUGGCGAGCGUUGUUCGGUAUUAUUGGGCGUAAAGAGCACGUAGGUGGUUUUGUAAGUCAGGUGUGAAAGCCUUCUGUUCAAAGGAAGAACGGCAUCUGAAACUGCAGAUCUUGAGUGUAGGAGGGGAGAGUGGAACUUCUGGUGGAGCGGUGAAAUGCGUAGAUAUCAGAAGGAACGUCGGCGGCGAAAGCGACUCUCUGGCCUAUUACUGACACUGAGGUGCGAAAGUUAGGGGAGCAAACGGGAUUAGAUACCCCGGUAGUCCUAACCGUAAACGAUGGGCACUAAGUAGAGGGGUUUU